Molecule: long non-coding RNA, 654 nt
Organism: Eucalyptus grandis
Lineage: Eukaryota; Viridiplantae; Streptophyta; Magnoliopsida; Myrtales; Myrtaceae
Exons: 2
Source: RefSeq, a predicted model, not a curated record
UCCAGUGGAUGUGAGUCUAAACAAGAACCUGUGGAAGGGAUUGAAGAAGUGGAAGCAGAAUUAGAAGCUGAGUUAGAGCGCUUGGAGCUUCAGUUGGAUGCUGAAGCCUCUUCCAAGCAAUCAUAUCAGGAAAUGAUAAAGGUUGCCCCCAAGUAAUCUGCUUCAGCAAGUGGCUGUAGCACGAGUUUUGGGAAAUUAAUGAACCCCAGAGACGAAGUGACUGAAGUUCAGAGCGGAGGGGAGUUUCCCCUGUUGAGCUCGAGAGGAGGUUUCAUGAGCAAGAUUGCAAGAACGAAUCAAAGAGCUUGAAGCAUCUUUAGGGCGUUUGGAGCAUAAGCUAUCUGAGAAAGAGAGAGAGAUCUUGUGGUGGAAAGACACUGCCCUUCUCCGGUCGCAGCAUGUAUCUGAGCCUUCUCAUGGUGGUCUCGCUGACAACGGAACUUCGAAAUGUUGAACUCAAAACUGAAAAAUUGAUUUGAAUGGUGUGCUACUUUUCUUUUCCUUUUCUUAUCCUUUCUGUGACGGAUAAAGGGACACAUAAAGAAAUGCUAUGAUCUGAUAUAGAGCUUGAAUUUGCUCGCUCAAAUACUUUCAUACUCAUCCAAAGCUUUCUUUUAUUAAUUUGAGAAGAGAGUCCCAUGUGCAUUACCCUAA